CGUCCUGAGAACUAUUUUAUGUACCAUUCAUACUAGAGACCAAAGGAAUUUGUUGGCCAAGGAUCCAUCUUUUUACAACUGGUUUUGAGUACAUUGUAACUGAUAAAAAGUUUCGUUUCGCAUUCGCAACCAUAGAAAUAUAAUUUAAAUUUGUAACAAGUUUUAUUUGGCAAAUCCAUGUCCAAUUAAGUUCUUUGGUCUGUAGCAUUGUAGGAGAAGUACGAUAGCUAUAUAGAAAACAUAAACGAGAGAUUAUCAGGAGAUAAUUGUAGAUUAUCUGCGGCAUAAAAACUUUACAGUACUACCGUAAGUGUUUCGAUUGUUUUACUGAUUAUGUGAAUUUUCUGAACGUUUUCUUGAUUUUAUUUUCCUCUUUUAGAGUAUCGAUGAUGCGCGAGUCUACGACUAAAAGACUUCUAAACAUCUGCAUUUCGUAAAUUCGUUCGAGACAAAAGUAUUUUUUUCCUCAUGCUUCCAGGCGUGUACGAGCACAUUGAAAGGUAAAUAUUUCGAUUUGUUUCAAACAAUCGGAUUGAAAAAGUAAGCUCAGGAGAAAGCAACUGGGAACCCUCUGUAAUUAACGGUCGUACACGUCGAUCGAUUCGCAAAAGAACUUUCAUCUCGCGCGUGAAAAGAAACUUUUCGCAAAAUUUAUUUUUCUUACGUUUGAUAGAUCUUAUCGUCAGACGUGACGUUUAUCAUCAUCAUCAUCAUCGUUAUCAUUUUUAUUCUCCUUCCUCGUACGUUCUUCGAGUGAUUUUGAAGAGAAAUCGGCCUUUGGAUUGGUCAAAGGCAGUCGACGAUCAUCGACAACAGAACGAUUUUUUUACUGAACGAUUGCAAGAGCUGCCCUUUCAUCGAUUUCGAACGUCUUCUCCUUGCGUUCUCCUGUAUCUAACGUUUGUAAGACUAACGUAAGUCAAAGAAGCUCAAGCCUACGGAGAGGAUGUCGACACCGAUGACCACCACGGUCACUGUAGCCGAGGGGACCAGUAUUGCGCUGCCAUGUCUGGUGCUGGUUGACCCGGUACCGCGAUCGGCACGCUGACACCUGGUGAUAUCAGACCUGAAAGAGAAGUAAACCGCCUUGUUUAACUGAUAUAUCUUAUUGGAUAUCAGCAUCGAGAUUAAGAAUCUUUCAAGAUGAGACCUUUCAAAGCAUUUGAGUGUCUGAAGAAUAAAAAUACAGAAGAUGGUCAGUCAUGCGAAUUCGAGAUCAACUGGGACAUAAUUUUAUAACAUUUUUAACACUAAGCUAUCCAGAUAGGAAUGUUUACGUGCACGUGUAAUAUCACAUUAAUGAUUAACAGAAAUAUACACUGUAGGAUAUUAUCUAAAAAAAAAAAAAAAAAUGCCGUCACCUUGAAACCUACGGAUCUUUAGGAUAAAACUACUUACACCACGCUAUCACGAACUAUGCUUGGAAGGAAUAACUGAAUCGAUUCUCGAAGCAGCGAGUCCCUUUAAAUCCAACGACAACAAACACACCAUGUUAAACCGGUACAGGCUGAAGGGAAUGGAGUUUUGUAACGAUAAAAACACCUUGCGGUAACGCAGAAGCGAGUAUAAUCCAUUACCGGGAGAUUGGAUAG
Frieseomelitta varia is the source of this 1592-nucleotide long non-coding RNA. RefSeq lists it as uncharacterized. The record is from RefSeq and is a predicted model, not a curated record. The transcript is spliced from 6 exons. Lineage: Eukaryota; Metazoa; Arthropoda; Insecta; Hymenoptera; Apidae.